AAGCUUCUGGACUCAGACUGUAGAGGGGUGAGUGGGCUCUGGGCUGACCCAGCUGGACUUUGCUGUAAUUUUCUGUUCUCUGUGGCAACUAAGGCUGUUCUAUGCUGUGUCCAGACACCCAAUAACCCUCCUGCUGUUACAGCACUGGCUGUGAGUCGCUGCAGUCAGGAAGUUGGGGUGCAGUGCUCCCUUUAGGGGUGCAAGUCUCCCCAGGCGUCCAACUCUGAUGGACUCCCUGCAGGGAGCUCACAGCAUGACCCAGGGGUGCUGAAGGCUCCGAGGUUCAGCUCCAGGAGGCGGUGAAGCCAAGGGGCUGACCCCAGUGACAGUUUGCCUCUAAGGGGGCUGACACACGGACGGGCUCCUCCAAGGGGCUGUUCCAGAGCCAUGCGAGAGCACCGGGCCUGGGGAUCCGGGACAGGUGGAGCCAGAGGAUGGUUUCUGAAUGCGCCCAGUAGACAGUUGGCCGCUGAGUUAUUGCAUUUGCAAUAAGUGACUGGCAGCAGUAAAACAAGGGAAGUUAAAGGACACAGCGGGGAAAAGCCGUAUAACCCUCUCCCGAAGACAAACACUGCAAACCCGUGAAGGGAGAGAGGGUUCCGUGUGGAGAAGCACAACGAGGCACAGCUGAUUGGACGGCUGGAGGAGGACAACCGGUCCAAGAAGCAGGUUCCAGGCCAAGCCGGGCUUUGAGAGAGUCUGGCCGCAGCCGAGGCAACAGCCGGAGCGAGCAGCAGCUGGGCAUCCACCAGACCCAGCGCCCCGUCCAGCAGGGGUCUUCAUGACCUGGCUCCCCAUCGUGGAUUUGAAGCAGUGGGAGCUGGAGCUAAGAGCAAAGGAGCGGCAGCUGGAGCAACAGAGGCUAGCCGAACACAAGGAGAAGCAGCGAAAGCGUGAACCGGAGAUGGAGAAGCCGAGGGGCAAGAGGGCCCACCAAGGAGGCGUACAGCCAAGUGGACGGAGUGGAGACUGGGAACUAUGAACUGCUCAACAGAGCUUUGCUGCUGAAGUUUGAAUUGACUAUGGAGGCAUAUAGGAAGAGGUUUUGGCGUGUGCAGAAGACUGCGGGUGUGACCUCCAUGGAAGUCAUCACCCUGCUGGGAGAAUAUCUCCGCAAAUGGGGAUCCAGGGAGCCCUGCAUCUGUAACGGCCAAGGAUUUGAAUCCAGGGAGCCAGAAGGCAGAGAAGGCAAGUGCAUGUGAAGAUGUGAAUUGCUGGGCUGACAGGGAGGAGGGGAUUUUCCCCCGACUGGUAACACAAAGGAGGAGCUGCUACACUCUGGAUACCAGCCUGUCCGUAACCAGAGCCCGGUGUCUGAGUGGGACGGAGGGAUGGUCCCCACCCAUCCUCCCAUGGGAGAUGAGACUCAUGCUGGCUCUGAUGCUGCCUACCCUCCCUGGGGAAGCAAAGGCAGAGCUGAGCAUGGUGGGGGCCGAGACCCCAGCUGAGCACAGGGGGGCCCCAGGCAGGGCAGGACCAUGGCUAAACAUGCCCUGUCCAGGGGUGAGAGAGGCCCCAGGGAAUAGGGGAGCAGCUGGAAGGAUGCUGCUGGUAACACAGGGGCCUGGUCAGAGGCGGGGCAUGGCCAUGGUGAGAGCCCAAAUCACAGCCCUCCUGGAAGGGGGGCUGGGAGAGGACUCAGUCCUGGGAGUGAGGCCAACUGGUUAAGCCCACAAGGGGAGCUGGGCUCCUGGCAUAUGCACAGCCCUGGGGUUGGGAGAUGACUCCAGGGGGGCUGCAGGGGCACCCUGGCCUCACCAUCCCCUGGGGCACCAGAGCCCCAGAGAGAGGGCUGGGGUAAGCACCAAUGAUCAUGGUGUGACUCCCUGUGCCAACCAGGGGGAAGGACACCCCAGGCUGUGGCCAAGGCAGCUGAUCCAUGGGGGUAGGUGGGGUCCUGCCCCCCUCACUCCCUGGCAGACGAGGGGGAGGGGCAGUGACAGAACCCCAGCCCAGUUUCAAACCCAAAGGUUUUGGGGUGGCAAAAGGGCAUGAGGCCGCGUGAGAACUUCUGUACCCCUGCACGUGCUAGCGACCAGACCGGAGCUGAGGGAGGAUGUGGCUCUGCUCUGACUGGAUACUGGGAACUGUAAUUGGGAUGGACUAGCCAGGGUGCUAACGGACUCCCAGCCCACUCCCACCUGCCUCGUCCCCUCACACCCCACCCGCCUCAUCCCUGUCACCGGUUCGGUCACAGAGACCCCCUUGGGACUGUCACCCGACGUGCUGAAACUACCUCUGAGCCUGUUUUCCCUGCCAGCUUGGGACUCCAGAACCCUGCCUUGUUGAGCCAGA
Molecule: long non-coding RNA, 2295 nt
Organism: Chelonia mydas (Green sea turtle)
Lineage: Eukaryota; Metazoa; Chordata; Testudines; Cheloniidae
Exons: 3
Source: RefSeq, a predicted model, not a curated record